UUCGCAAUGCCCGAAAGGGUGACGAAGCGACGCCGCGUGAGCGAAGAAGGCCCUAGGGUUGUAAAGCUCUGUCGAGGGUUAUGAAAUAUAGAUGGGUUAAUACCCCAUUUAUUUGACAAAAGCCCAAGAGGAAGUCACGGCUAACUCUGUGCCAGCAGCCGCGGUAAUACAGAGGUGGCAAGCGUUGUUCGGUAUUAUUGGGCGUAAAGAGCACGUAGGUGAUUUUAUAAGUCAGGUGUGAAAGCCUUCUGUUCAAAGGAAGAACGGCAUCUGAAACUGUAGAUCUUGAGUGUAGGAGGGGAGAGUGGAACUUCUGGUGGAGCGGUGAAAUGCGUAGAUAUCAGAAGGAACGUCGGCGGCGAAAGCGACUCUCUGGCCUAUUACUGACACUGAGGUGCGAAAGUUAGGGGAGCAAACGGGAUUAGAUACCCCGGUAGUCCUAACCGUAAACGAUGGGCACUAAGUAGAGGGGUUUU
RNAcentral lists this ribosomal RNA (476 nucleotides) under Candidatus Scalindua wagneri. Its description in RNAcentral is "bacterial SSU rRNA". It matches the Rfam family "Bacterial small subunit ribosomal RNA", at positions 365 to 832 of the family's 1533-position model. The record is from RNAcentral. Lineage: Bacteria; Pseudomonadati; Planctomycetota; Candidatus Brocadiia; Candidatus Brocadiales; Candidatus Scalinduaceae.